This 947-nucleotide long non-coding RNA is filed under the name Gallus gallus (chicken). RNAcentral's name for it is "lncRNA (ENSGALG00010000460.1)". The record is from RNAcentral. Lineage: Eukaryota; Metazoa; Chordata; Aves; Galliformes; Phasianidae.
GGGGCAGAAUGGGGACCUCCGCGCCUGUAGGGGGCGCUGCAGCCGCAGCCCUCCGCCUUCAGGUGCUGUAUGUGCUCUGCCAGGACCCAAAAUGCCACUUUUUCGACCCAAAAUGACCCAAAAUGCCACUUUUUGGACCCCAAAAUCCCACCUUUUGGACCCUAAAUGGGGAUGGCUCCCAUAGGGGGAUACAGUGGGAGGAGGGAGCGAUGGGGAGAGGGGGGGGGGGGGGGAGAUAUUGGGAUGGAAAUGGGGCAGAACUGGGGGGAAAUGGGGGUCAGAAUGGACAGCAAAGGGGAAUAUUGGGGUGAAAUUGGGGGAAAUGGGGGAAAAAUGGGUGAAAAAUGGGCAGAAAUGGGGGGAAAAUGGGCAGAAAUUGGGGGCAAAUUGGGGCAGAAUGGGGCAGAAUGGGGACCUCCGCGCCUGUAGGGGGCGCUGCAGCCGCAGCCCUCCGCCUUCAGGUGCUCCACGUACUCUGCCAGGACCCAAAAUGCCCCUUUUUCGACCCAAAAUGACCCAAAAUGCCACUUUUUGGACCCCAAAAUCCCACCUUUUGGACCCUAAAUGGGGAUGGGUCCCAUAGGGGGAUACAGUGGGAGGAGGGAGUGGGGUGGAAGUGGGGGGGGGAUGGGGCAAAACUGGGGGGAAAUGGGGCAGAAUUGGGGGGAAAUGGGGGUCAGAAUGGACAGCAGAGAGGAAUAUUGGGGUGAAAUUGGGGGAAAUGGGGGAAAAAUGGGUGAAAAAAUGGGCAGAAAUGGGCAGAAAUGGGGGGAAAAUGGGGCAGAAAUGGGCGAAAUAGGGGCAGAAUUGGGCAAAAAAGGGCCAAAAGAGGUGGGAAUUGGGGAAAAUGGGCAGAAAUGGGGCAAAAUGGAGGGGAAAUGGGGCAAAAUUGGGGGCAAAAUUCCCCCCAUUUCCCCCCCAAUUUCCCCCAAUUCCCCAUUUCCCCC